UACGUAGGAGGCGAGCGUUAUCCGGAUUCACUGGGCGUAAAGCGCGCGUAGGCGGUUGGUUAAGUCUGACGUGAAAGCCCCUGGCUCAACUGGGGGAGGCCGUUGGAUACUGGCCGGCUUGAGGAUGAGAGAGGGGAGUGGAAUUCCCGGUGUAGCGGUGGAAUGCGUAGAGAUCGGGAGGAACACCAGUGGCGAAAGCGGCUCCCUGGCUCACCCCUGACGCUGAGAGCGCGAAAGCGUGGGGA
This 245-nucleotide ribosomal RNA is filed under the name uncultured bacterium. RNAcentral describes it as "partial 16S ribosomal RNA". It matches the Rfam family "Bacterial small subunit ribosomal RNA", at positions 524 to 767 of the family's 1533-position model. The record is from RNAcentral.